GGGCAACUAGCUCAGUUGGUAGAGCGCCGCCCUUACAAGGCGGUGGCCGCAGGUUCGAGUCCCGCGUUGCCCACCA
RNAcentral lists this transfer RNA (76 nucleotides) under Desulfovibrio sp. Its description in RNAcentral is "tRNA-Val". It matches the Rfam family "tRNA". From Rfam's summary of the family: Transfer RNA (tRNA) molecules are approximately 80 nucleotides in length. Their secondary structure includes four short double-helical elements and three loops (D, anti-codon, and T loops). The record is from RNAcentral. Lineage: Bacteria; Pseudomonadati; Thermodesulfobacteriota; Desulfovibrionia; Desulfovibrionales; Desulfovibrionaceae.